CACACAUCACACUUAGUUUCUCUCUUUAUUACUGGCUUUGUUUUUUUUUUUUUUGACUUUUGCUCUCAACGUGGUGACCAAUUCUGCUAGUUCCAUCCAUCACCUGUGUUGGGUCUCAGCUGUGAUUUUUUGUUUUUAAAACAUCCUUCUUGGGGUCUCUUCUGUUCAGCUCCACGGAGACAGCUAAGCGUUUUCUAGCGGUUUGUGUUCUUAUAUCCCUUGCAUUCAAUCCAGCUUUGUCAACCCAAGCUCCACAUUCAGUGACAUCACACUGAUUGCUUGAAAUUGGCUGUGGUAGAAGUAUGUAUCCCACAGAAAUCAGAUGCUACAAAUCAGACGAUAAUGAGGACAAUGAAGAGAAGCGCAAACUCCGUCUUGUCGUGUGUAACCCCAAUUCGCACCAUAUGAAGAUGGAAAAGUGGACGAGGAAUGAUAAACGAUUUGGCAAAGCUUUGGAAAGUCGAGAAUUGGAAACUCCAGGUUCUUCAACAGGCAGGGAUUAUCCCUGAGCUAACAUCUGCCGGCAAUCCUCCUCUUUUUGCUGAGGAAGACUGGCCCUGAGCUAACAUCCGUGCCCAUCUUCCUCUACUUUAUAUGUGGGAUGCCUACCACAGCAUGGCUUGCCAAACAGUGCCAUGUCCGCACCCGGGAUCAGAACUGGCAAACCCUGGCCGAGAAGCAGAACGUGCGAACUUAACCCCUGCGCCACCAGGCAGACCCCUAUGUCUGGCUUUGUUGAUGACAUAAUGUUUGUGAGAGUCCUUCACAUUAUUGCAGGUAGUUAUGGAACACUCAUUCUCAUUGCUUUAUCUCAUUGUUAUUUAAAUUUGUAUUUUGUUGAUCUUAAGAGGAAUGAUGUUUAGUUUACAGACAGAGAAUAGGUGUCUUUAUAAUAUUAAAUCUCCCCAUUUGGAAACAAAGAAAGUCUUUCAUUUUACCUUAUUUUAUUUUUCUUCUUGUAGAUAUUACACAUUUCUUAUUAGAUUGC
RNAcentral lists this long non-coding RNA (988 nucleotides) under Equus asinus (donkey). Its description in RNAcentral is "lncRNA (ENSEASG00005029042.1)". Lineage: Eukaryota; Metazoa; Chordata; Mammalia; Perissodactyla; Equidae. The record is from RNAcentral.